ACCCGACCCCUCUUCCCGCACUCAUUCUCUCUCCACCCCUCUCGCGAUCCUCUUCUCCACUGCGCCGCCGCCGCCGCCAGCUGUCGUCCCGGCUGGUACCUGCCGCAUCCGCCGCCACCGUCGACCGGUGGAACUCCGGAGUCUCUCCUCUACUACUUUCUCCGCCGCCACGAUGUACGCCCGUGCCCGCACGCGCUGCUACGUGAAACCCUAGCUUAGCAGCUUGGGCUCGCCGGCGCUGCUCUGGACCCCUCCCGCUGAUACCGGCGCGGACAUGGGACCACCGGCGCUGCUCCGUGACGUCGCCAUGGACCCCUCUGCUAGAUCCACGCCUCCGCGCUACCCUACAUCACCCAAGCGCGCGUGCCCGCGGAACCCUAGCCGUGGAGCUCGGGCUCGCGACAUGGUGCCCGCGCCUGCGCCCCCACUACUCCCCCUCGUCAACCACGAGCUUCCCUGCUUUCCUAUGCUCCUGCUACCCCGACGUCGACGACUACCAGAUGUUGUUGUCGCCUGGUUGGCCGGGGCUUCCCCACCAUGGUGCGGUGGUAGGCUGCGGUUGCCCUCUCCUUUUGUUCAGCGACCUCGAUGGCUUCACCGCGGCCACAACUACCACUACGAGCUAUUUCUUCUCCCUUCUAUAUUGAGCCUGCAGCAUAAACUCUAUAUUUUGAAUUGACUAUACACUAAUACACAUCUCUAUACAUAGGGCUGACUUACCAAGUGCAGAUGUAAUAUUGUAGUUGUAGUAGUCCAUAGGGCGGAGAUUCUGAUUAUUUGCCUAAUUGUCACAUUGGUGCUUUGUAUCGAGAUCAGUUCACAUCUGUGUUGUGCAUAGCACACUUCAAGCGUGCAACUGUCUCUAACUGGUCCUGCUCUAGGUUUCAUACACAUUAUCUGAUAUAGUUGGAUUUGAUGCUGAGACGUCCUGGAGUCCUUGUAUUCUGUAGCAUGCUGGGGGAGACACAGAAUCAGUAGAAAAAACCUACACUGUGUGCUUGCUAAAUUACAAUGGAUAGAGAACCACACGUGCAUAAGCUGAUAGGUCUACUUUUGUUCAGACUAUCCAAAUAACCAUCUAGCCCUUGUCCUAGAACUGAUAUGCAUCCAUUUUUAGUCAGGUGGUCCCCCUUUCCCUGCUUCCCUAUGUUCCUGCUACCCUGACGUCUAUUGCUUCAACAGAUGCAUCCCUUGUAAUUUGAAGUUAUCUCUCUUGAUGCAAGUGUUGGUGAUGCAUAUUAACUUGACCUCAGCAUAUAUUUUGGUUAAGAAGUGUCAUCAAUUUUCUUAUAGUCCAUUGUAGUGGUUGUUCAAAUUAAGAAGGUCCUAUUUGCCAUAGCUGAGAAAUACAUAAAAUGAACUAAUGGAAGACAAUACCUCCCCAGUCCUCUUAAAAUAAAAACAAGAAUGAAAACUUUGUUCAUAUAUAUGCUUCUGUGUUCUGGAUCUUAUGCUAGCUGGCAGAGCUUGUUGAGGUUGUCACUUAGCUAGGUUGGCUUGUGUAGAAUUAACAUGCGAUUGGGGAUAGUACUUCAGAUAUUGGUUGUUUUUAACUGAAUUGGGGAUUAGUGAUACUUUGUAUGAUCAUUUCAAGUAGAUGUCCCAAUGUAAAGCGCACUGAUUUCAUAUUAUCCAUCUAAACAACAUCCUGCUUCUUUAUUAUCUUAUAUGAACUGCUUCAAAUCUGAUCUUUAAUAGUAGUUCCGAUGGAUCCGAAUUUUCUCAAUUCUAUGUUCGAUGUUUACUGCAGGAACCUACUUUAGUAUUUUUCUCAGGGUACAUGCAUUAGUUUUCCAUAAAAGGCUGGAUUACUAGAAGCAAUUAAAUGAGCGCUGGAUAAGCAAAAGUGAGAUUUUGCUACCCCUUGUACAUUGCAGGCCAUGGACGCAUGUAUUCUUUCACUGAGCCUGUAGGUAUAUUUCCCAACUCAGAUAUAGCCCUUUUGAGAGAAUGUAUGUGUGAACAUGGCAGUCAUACCUGAUUUACGGUUUAUUAACCCAUUUCUAUAUGUUCUUCCAUUUUUUAUUCCAACAUCAAGUAAGGUAGUUUCUGCAAUCCUAGAAUAUCAUUUUUGAAAAUACUAACGCAAUUCUGAUUUCUGUAGAGUAUUACUUCAACGACGACAAAUGCUUUCUUGGUGAUAAUUUUUUAUUUACAUCCUUUUGGGUAACUGUAGAUGGUAAUUUGCGCCAAUCACGUAGUGACGCGUAUGGCAGUUUCCCUGUAUGGUAAUUUGCGCCAAUCAUGUAGUGAUCGGUGUGGAGGGUAUACCCCUGUCGUGGAGGUGCUGCCGGCUCCACCUUGGGCUGCGGAGCUGGAGUUCUACGGAGAGUGGCGGCGCGACGAACGCGAGUGCUUACCUCGCACCGGCCAUGCCUUCUCCUCCUACCUUCCGCGGAGCCGAAGUCUGAUGGCGAGCCGGGGACAUGGCUCCUUCUCAUUGGUCUUCGCCCGACGGCGAGCCGGGGACAUGGCUCCUUCUCAUUGGUCUUCAUGUGUGGUGGAUGUGCUCCAUGGCCAGGUCAAGAGGACUGGACUCCCGAGGCUGAGAAAUUGUCCCACCAUGGUGCGGUUCCCGAUGUCCAUCGAUAAAGUGAGAACUGCAAGAGCUAGCAGCAGAUCAGCUAUCUUUGCGUAUAUGUUUAGCUGCUAACCUGUGGACUUGGCAUAUGUGUUUAGGUACUAACCAUGGUGCACGUAUACUAUUUCUUUUUCUUGAUUUUGAGUGAUAAUACAAUGAUUUAAGUGCUAACCUGUGGAAUUUGCUUAUGCUUUAUUGGUGACUCAAUGUAAGGGUUUCACUAUUAAUUUCUACUACAACCUAGCCGAUAGAGAUGGGCGUAGAGGGAUUAGAGGGCACCCUGAUGUUGAUCGCCACAGUUGCCUCAUAAUCCAUAUAUUCAAAGGUCAAGAUGGUUGUUUACAUCAGGUGGAGGAACAGACAGACAGCUCAUUUUAUUUGUUCUUCAGGUAACUCUGACUACUCAGUGAAAAAAAGAACUUCUUAAUGCUCAAUGCAAUUAUGUACGGAAGAGGGAUCAAUAAUUUAAGUAUUGUUUUGUUCAGUUCAAUAUCGAUGCCAGCUUUCAUUAUUUCCCAAAAUAUUUGUAAUGUGUCAACUACCUAACAAGCUAAAAAAGUUUCUAGAAGGUAUCUCUUCUUUCUUUAAGAAUUUUCCCUAUCUAUCGUUGCGUUUGGAAAAUUGAUUAGUGUUGAGAUGAUUCAUAUGUGCAUCUAAAUUGUUUUCAUAGAUUCUAUAUUCACUUGCUAUUUGCAAUGCAUCAAGUUUUUGGUAGCAAGGUGGAAUCAAAUCCGACUAAUCCACCUUUUUGUUUAUAUGUAGAAUUGUAGAUUCUAAGUAGUGUGCUUCAGCAGGUACCUACUAUGCUUAUAAGUUGUUUCGAAAAUCAUUCCAGGUAAAACUAAUGCUUCAGUGAUGUCAAUAUCUAACCUUUACAUUAUCGAGAGGUAAAAGGGAAAUGCUAAAAAAUUCUGAAUAGGGCAUCGAUUUAAUGUUGUAUAGUUGUGUAGUUGUUGUUCUUUCCAUAGUAUUCUAUCAUGUAUACAUAAGAUCAUUGCAAUACUUUUACAUCACUUUACAAUUGUCACACAUCGCUUGGAGGUUUUACUUGGGCAUGCUUCUAUCCCUCUCCUUCACCUCACCAUGCCUCAACCGUUACCUGAUUGCUCAUAUGUAGAUUUCCAAGAUAUACUGAACCGCUCCUUGCUUUAGAACGCAAGUAUUAAGUUUAUGUGUACCUCUUCUUACAGCCAGCUCGGUCAUUUUUUCUGUAAGGAGUGGGUCAACUUAGAAAAACAAUUUGUUCCAGAUUAUUUUUGUUUGUUAUUGUUCUCUUCAAUUGUUCAUGCCAUAAUUUUUGCCCAACUCUUCUGAAUUCUGCAAGGAGUUGGUCAACUGAGAAGAAAUCAUGGUGCCUGGGGACUACUUUUAUAUGUUAGUUCUUUUUGUCAGCCCGGUGUUCAGGCCCGCCAUUCUUGUGUUCCUGUUGUAGACUUAAACUAGAAAUCACAGACAUACAUAAUUCGUUUCUAUUCUUGAUUUUCUAUUGCUAUGACAUUGCUUUCUAUCUUGGCCAAACUUUUUAGUGUCUUCAUGUUCUGGUUCGUCUUGCCUUGACAAAACCUGUGAUGUAAGGACUGAGGAUAGGACUAUAAGGCUAUGUGUAAUUAGUCUAUUUCAAUCAAUCCAUGAGGCCAGAGUCGCCGGGUGAUUGACACAUCUUAGAAAGACAGGCUGCUGCAAUUCCUUGACCAAUUUCUAUUAUUCUAUGACUAUUGGAGAAAUCUGAAGCCUAUAUAUGUGUGCAGCAGAAUGAAUUAAAAUGACAUCCGCUUUUUUUCUUGCAAGGAUUAAGAAUUCAGUUCCUUAUGUAUAUAUUUUUGCGCCAUAAACAAUCUCACUAACAAAAGAAUUGGGACUGAUCCAUCCUACUAUCCAUUCCUAGCGUUUCAUUUAAUUGGUUUUCGAUGUAAGACGUGUAAAGUAGCUUAGUACCUCUGAUUAUCAGUACUGAUUAUUUCUCACUCCAUAUUUUCUCUGUAAUGUGUCACAGAGAGAGAGAGGCUUAUGGAUGCUGAUACCUCUUUAAACUGGUGUGAAGCACUCCCCUUUGUAAGCUAUCCUCUAAUUUAUUAUUUGAUGUUGAAUUCUCUAUGCUAUUUCCAGUGUGCAGAUAGUUUUACAUUGUUUUGGGUCAGGCAGACUUGGAGCAUGUUUGUGAAUUUAUUGACUCAAAUGUACUCAUUCGCGUAUGAGUUAAAGCUAUGGAAUGACUAUGCUUUCUUUCUUUAUAUUGAUAUUGAUAUGGAUUUCUCCUUUUAUAUCGUUGUAUAUGAUGCUAUCUGUUUCAGUGGUGGGAUAGAUUCAUAGGGAAGAAUUAGAGCUUAUCCAACGACAUCUGAAUCUGGCCCUUUCAUCAAUUAUAGAACCCAGGUUGUUUGAUUGGAACUUGCAGAGAAAGAUGUUUGUUUCUUCCUAGACACAAAAUGAUCUGGAAAGAUGCUUGUUUCUUCCUAUACUCCAGUCACCCUGUAAUAUACUUGAAUAGAAAAGACACAUUUCUGUGAAGAAAAGAGAGGAGGAAAUUGGGAAAGCCUGCUAAACCAUCUGAAUUGGGGAAGGUUCUUCUCAUCCCAGUGGUGAUAUAAAAUGUUAACCGUCUAUAGAUAUUAACUUCUGUUGUCAGCUGUGAUUACUUGCUCCUUUCUUUGUAUAGAAUAUAUGUGAAAAAUCAAGAACUUAACCUCAGGUUUCAGAUAGAUAAUAAUUGGACCUUAUAACGGUAUCAUCUUGUUGAUUUAUUACCCCCAUGCACUUCUGUCCGCACCUGCUGUAGCAGAUGCUACUAAUUCAGUAUGUUCAUGUAGAUGCACUUAAUCAGAGAGCUCAUCAUUAUGUUAUACUGCACUGAAUGAACAAGAUACUACACACCCAUAGAAACUUAAGAAAAGCAAAGCAUUCACUAGAGAAUCAAUCAAUGAGCUUGCACAAUUUCCCUAUUUAUGUGGAACUAUCACUCAUGAGGUGAUUACUAAAGGUAGAUAAGGGCUCAACAAAUUCCCUAUUUGUGUGAGCAGCCAUUGCUCUAUGAAAAUCCGUUGUACUGCAAUUUGUAACCUCUUGGUUGGGUUUAAUGAACAUAGACCUCUGGAUUCUGUAUUCUGUGAAAUUCUUGAUAAUUUAGAACCUCUGACAGGAGUUUUGUCCACCUAGUUUAAGGAACAUAAGCAUAUUGGAUGUCGCAUCGAAUCUUAUUUUGCACCUUGAAGCUAUUAUUAGUCCCUUUGUCUGAGUUGUUGUUAACCUGAGCUAUUGCAUCAGUUUUGGUUCAUCUCGCUGAAAAAUCAACUUUAUUUGCAACAAAUCUCUUCUCCUUCGAAGACUUACCGUGCCAAUUAAUCAUGAUCUCGUUGUAUUUUUGUCUUGGGAUCUAACCAUGAAGUUCUCCAAGGAGUACCAGAAGCAUAUGACCGGCAUGGAGGAAGAUCUUCCUGCUCUGGGGCUGGAGCGCCUCAAAAAAAUGAUCAAGAAAUGCCAGGCUACGCCCUGUUCCCCGCAGGGCCUCGGCGACGAGAGAGACGUCGCCGUCCCAGGAGGUAGCCAGUGCUCUGGGGCUAGCCAUUGCUAUGGAAUGGGUUCCAGAAGAUUGACAAGAUCAAGGACUCUAACAGGCAGUCCAAGCAGAUGGAGGAGCUCACUGGGAAGAUGAGGGAGUGCAAGCGCUUAAUCGCAGACCUCGCAGGUGUUGGUGACGCCCUUGCCAGGCCUCGGCUGCGGCCGUUCGUUCAGGAACACCACGCACUUUCUAUUGAGUGGAGGCCGGUGGGGCGAGGCAGAGCGGGCAGCAAGGGAGCUGCUAGAUGCAGGGGCCGGUGGGGGAGCUCGUCUCUGCUCCAUGGAGGCCCUGCCUCCUCUGCUUCUGGUUCUGGAGGCCCCGCCUCCUCUGGUCCUGGAGCGGUCGCGGUCCUGGAGCGGUCGCGGACGACCGGCGUGGGCGUGGUGUGGGCUCACCGUCGACGUCGAGCGCGCGAUUCCAGCUCCGGCGCGGCGCCGGACGGGGACAGAGCUCCGGCGCGGGGACGUGGACGUCGGGAUCAAGAUUGAUUUUGAUUUGAGGACCACAGCUGAGAAGAAUUGAACUCGCGAGGGGGUUUUCACAAAAUGAUAAUUGAGCAUAGGCCGAGUCAUCUAAAUCGGGCCGAAGGGAGUACAACUUUUAGUUGAAAAUCUGAUAUUUAAAAUGCUGUGAAGUUACAUGUAUUACAGAUUUGUUAUGAUGUGAUAUAUAGACUUCUGGAUUAUGUAUA
Lolium perenne is the source of this 6828-nucleotide non-coding RNA. Lineage: Eukaryota; Viridiplantae; Streptophyta; Magnoliopsida; Poales; Poaceae. The record is from RefSeq and is a predicted model, not a curated record.